This 253-nucleotide ribosomal RNA is filed under the name uncultured bacterium. RNAcentral's name for it is "partial 16S ribosomal RNA". It matches the Rfam family "Bacterial small subunit ribosomal RNA", at positions 524 to 776 of the family's 1533-position model. The record is from RNAcentral.
GACAGAGGUGCCGAGCGUUAGGCGGAAUCACUGGGCUUAAAGCGUGUGUAGGCGGAUCGUUAAGUACCUUGUGAAAUCCCACGGCUUAACCGUGGAACUGCUGGGUAUACUGGCGAUCUUGAGGUGCUCAGGGGCGAGCGGAACAGAUGGUGGAGCGGUGAAAUGCGUAGAUAUCAUCUGGAACGCCUGCGGUGAAAACGGCUCGCUGGGAGCAAUCUGACGCUGAGACACGAAAGCCAGGGGAGCAAACGGG